GAUGAACGCUGGCGGCGUGCCUAAUACAUGCAAGUCGAGCGAACAGACGAGGAGCUUGCUCCUCUGACGUUAGCGGCGGACGGGUGAGUAACACGUGGAUAACCUACCUAUAAGACUGGGAUAACUUCGGGAAACCGGAGCUAAUACCGGAUAAUAUAUUGAACCGCAUGGUUCAAUAGUGAAAGACGGUUUUGCUGUCACUUAUAGAUGGAUCCGCGCCGCAUUAGCUAGUUGGUAAGGUAACGGCUUACCAAGGCAACGAUGCGUAGCCGACCUGAGAGAGUAAUCGGCCACACUGGAACUGAGACACGGUACAGACUCGUACGGGAGUCAGCAGUAGGGAAUCUUCCGCAAUGGGCGAAAGCCUGACAGAGCAACGCCGCGUGAGUGAUGAAGGUCUUCGGAUCGUAAAACUCUGUUAUUAGGGAAGAACACAUGUGUAAGUAACUAUGCACGUCUUGACGGUACCUGAUCAGAAAGCCACGGAUAACUCCGAG
RNAcentral lists this ribosomal RNA (497 nucleotides) under uncultured bacterium. RNAcentral's name for it is "partial 16S ribosomal RNA". It matches the Rfam family "Bacterial small subunit ribosomal RNA", at positions 28 to 507 of the family's 1533-position model. The record is from RNAcentral.